RNAcentral lists this ribosomal RNA (384 nucleotides) under uncultured bacterium. Its description in RNAcentral is "bacterial SSU rRNA". It matches the Rfam family "Bacterial small subunit ribosomal RNA", at positions 29 to 416 of the family's 1533-position model. The record is from RNAcentral.
AUUAAACGCUGGCGGAAUGCUUUACACAUGCAAGUCGAGCGGCAGCGCGGGGCAACCUGGCGGCGAGCGGCGAACGGGUGAGUAACAUAUCGGAACGUACCCAGUCGUGGGGGAUAACUAUCCGAAAGGAUAGCUAAUACCGCAUACGACCUGAGGGUGAAAGGGGGGGAUCGCAAGACCUCUCGCGAUUGGAGCGGCCGAUAUCGGAUUAGCUAGUUGGUGAGGUAAAGGCUCACCAAGGCGACGAUCCGUAGCUGGUCUGAGAGGACGACCAGCCACACUGGAACUGAGACACGGUCCAGACUCCUACGGGAGGCAGCAGUGGGGAAUUUUGGACAAUGGGGGCAACCCUGAUCCAGCCAUUCCGCGUGAGUGAAGAAGGCC